ACUCCUACGGGAGGCAGCAGUGGGGAAUAUUGGACAAUGGGGGAAACCCUGAUCCAGCCAUGCCGCGUGAGUGAAGAAGGCCUUAGGGUUGUAAAGCUCUUUCGCUAGGGAAGAUAAUGACGGUACCUAGUAAAGAAGUCCCGGCUAACUCCGUGCCAGCAGCCGCGGUAAUACGGAGGGGACUAGCGUUGUUCGGAAUUACUGGGCGUAAAGAGUACGUAGGCUGUUUGUCAAGUUGGGUGUGAAAGCCCGGGGCUCAACCCCGGAACUGCACUCAAAACUGAUAGACUAGAGAUCGGAAGAGGUAAGUGGAAUUCCCAGUGUAGAGGUGAAAUUCGUAGAUAUUGGGAAGAACACCAGUGGCGAAGGCGGCUUACUGGUCCGACACUGACGCUGAGGUACGAAAGCGUGGGGAGCAAACAGGAUUAGAUACCCUGGUAGGAUAGCG
RNAcentral lists this ribosomal RNA (448 nucleotides) under uncultured bacterium. RNAcentral describes it as "bacterial SSU rRNA". It matches the Rfam family "Bacterial small subunit ribosomal RNA", at positions 335 to 799 of the family's 1533-position model. The record is from RNAcentral.